GUACUCCACACUCUGAAUCGAAUAAAAUGUUGGAUAAGACGAUUGCAGACGAUACGGCGUUGAGCAGCAGACGACAUGGGGACAUUACCAUUACUAUGAGAGUGAAUGGGCUUCUGUCCACGGUUUAAACAUUAACCAACAAUUUAGCAUUUCAUCAAGCCGCUAGUUUAAUAGGGUAAUUGGCUUUUUUAUUUUCAGCCAUUAUAUUAGUUUAAAGGUACAGAAGAUUGGUUAACAGGCUGGUGUUUUAGACAGGUUAUAAUAACAUCAGGCCUAUAAGAAUAUAUGUAUAGCCCAUAUUAACUAAAGGACGCGGGGAUCAAAGCCUAGUUCGUUGUGGACCGAGGGAAAGACCCCCAUCGGGAGCAGGGUGAGAAAAAUUGACAGAAGUUUUCCUACCAAAAGGAAAGCCGUGAGAAGACAACAAGAAAAUGAACGAGGCGAGACGUGAGCUGGGGAAUCCCUCUGCAUAGUAAUGGUGUCGUUUGCGGCCAAACGCAAAAGAUUUAUGUCCUCGUGCAUCUGCUGGCAGCAAGCAUGUUUAAAGUGCUGGCUCUCUGGUAGUCUUAGGCUAUGGGACUUACAACGACACAAUAAUAAGUAGGACAUGCGGACAGCGUGGGAGGAUUUACUCUGUAUCAUUAAAUCAGCAUCGGGGGCACGUGGCAGCGCCGGAGAAGGUGUGAGGUUGUAUUUGACUCCAGAUGGAAAACAGACUCUGGCUCCCACGCCACCUUUCGCCACUGCACCUGAACUUUUCUCUGAACCAAGGAGAGACACGGAGAGUUGAGCGAGGAUAUAUUCGAGAGAAACAUAUGGAUGGAUUCCCAAAGAAGAAGAGUUUGAGGGAUUGCUCGUCGCUGCUCUACUGUUGGAUGUUGGCCAGACAGCGGUACAUGUAUCCCCCCACAAUGUUGACAUUUGGGGCUCUUAACAGCGAGGCUAAGGUUACAGAUACUCUCGACCGAAGAUAACUCUUCCUCAAGUGUUUCCAUUGGCCAACAUCAAGGCUGAUGCGAAAUACAACGCUUUAAUUUUGCUUGGUGUCCAAGACCGGGAAACGUCGUGGAGCUCUGGUGGUUUUUGAACUUACAAGUGGUUGCAAAAAAUAAUUAUUGACGUUGCAUGUAUGUAACAUAUUAUCGACGUUAUGGCUAAAUUUAUACUUAUCACCGUACGACGUACUAUAUACGUAAUAUUUAUAUAUAUAUAUAUAUAUAUAUAUAUAUUCAAUGUUAUAUUUAAAAAUGUUCUGUGGCCUUAAUUGUUUGGGUUGAUCAAAAUAUCUAACCUGAAAUAAAUACACAGGGAUAGGGACAUAGCAUUAUAUAUUGUAAUUAAAAACAUUAUUUACGUGUAUCAUCGGGACGUUUUCAGAGUAUAGGCUACAUGUGUUAACUUAUUCCGUUAGGCUAUGAGUUUUGUGCCCUCUCCUUGAGGCACCGUUUCAACAAUGCAUUUGGACAACUUAUCCCCGCGCAAAAAUACUUUCAAAUAAUGAGUUUGGGUAUGUUUGUAUAAGAAACUGUUAAAACGUGCGUUUAUUAAACAAUCUUGUUUUA
Long non-coding RNA from Hypomesus transpacificus, 1562 nucleotides. RefSeq lists it as uncharacterized. The transcript has 3 exons. The record is from RefSeq and is a predicted model, not a curated record. NCBI's taxonomy places the organism in Eukaryota, Metazoa, Chordata, Actinopteri, Osmeriformes, Osmeridae.